GCAUGUGCGCUGGCUUCCGAGGGGACCGGCCCUGGUUCUGGAGGCCCUCCCCACCAACGAGCAGUACGCAUGUGUAGCGCCGAAGCUUCCUGUGAAGUGUGCGUGUCUGACGGAUGACGACUCCACAAGGCGCUGUGGCCCUGGCAGCCUCAUGAGGUUGCGGCUCUGCGGGACCACACCGCCGCGGGAGUGCACGGGCCCCAGCGAGUGAAAUCUGCGGCAGCCCCCGCUGGGCCCGCUGUUCCUGCGCGCGCAGAGGAGCGUAGCCUGCCCCUAGGCCGCGUUCCCGUGAGCUCCAUGCCCACAGUGGCCGAGGCCGGCCACAAGCCCACGGUCCCUUCUGCACGGUCCCUGCCGCGCUGGGGCCACCGUGGAGGCCCGGAGGGCCCUGGGAGGAGGGAGGAGGAGCAGAGGCUUUCGGGAGAACCCAGCCCUUCACCGGCCAGGGGAGGCCGCGAUGCAUCGCGACUGGUUGUGAAGAGCCAGGGGAAGAACUUUACCGUGCAGGUGACAAUCAGUUGUCUGUGGGUGCCCACCAAACAUCUGAAGAUCCAUCAUGAGCCACACCAGGAAGAGAGGACCCUGGGAAGAGCCAGAGCUCCCUAUACAAGUGAUGGCAUGAAUGAACAUCUCAGAGACAAAGAAAAAGACUGUGAAUACUCGCCAGGUGGAUCUUCCAACAUGGGGCCAAGUCAAACUGGCACAGAUGGCAGAGGCCAACCUCAGAGCACAGAACAAACCAAAAACAACUAGUAAGUUAAAGGUGGCCAUGCUGGCAGUACUGUCUGUGGCAGACCUUUUGGAUUCAAAGUUGUGUCCAGCCACCUUUUAUGUUAGCAAUAGGAAAUGUUAUUCUUGACAUAAAUACCCAUUCUAUCACAUGCCCCGAAUGUCACUUGUUUAGUUGCAUUAACUCAACCUUUGAUAAAAAUCAAACUUUCUUGUUAAUUAGAGCCAGAGAAGGAGUUUGGAUCCCUGUGUCUCUAAAUAGACCACGGGAUGCAUCACCAUCCAUUCAUAUUGUAACUGAGAUUCUUAAAAACCUGUUAUCCCAUUCAAAAAGAUUCACAGUUGCUCUUGUAUUUGCUAUAAUUGGCCUCAUUGCUGUUACCACUACUGCUGCAGUAGCUGGUGUGGCUUUACACUCAUCUGUGCAGACUGUUGAAUUUGUUGAUAAAUGGCAAAAGAAUUCUACGAAAUUAUGGAACUCUCAGGCCCAAAUAGAUCAAAAGAUAGUCAAAUCAGUGAUCUCUGUCAGACAGUAAUUUGGAUGGGGGAUCACAUCCUAAGUUUAGAAACUAGAAUUCAAAUGCGUUGUGUUUGGAAUAUAUCCGAUUUUUGCAUUACUCCUCAUAGUUACAAUGAGACAGAACACCAAUGGGAAAGAAUUAAACGCCAUCUAGAGGGCAGAGAGGAAAAUCUCACCUUCAAUAUUGUAAAACUGAAAGAGCAGGUUUUUGAAGCCUCUCAGGCUCACUUGGCCCUGCCCCCUGGCACUGAUAUUUUAAACAAGGCAGCUGAUGAGUUGUCUGCAAUCUAUCCUCUUAAAUGGAUUAAGACCAUUGGAAACUCUACACUUGUAAACUUUGUUCUAGUAACUGUGUGGUUGUGCUGUCUCCUUUUAGUCUGCAGAUGUGGAAGCUGCCUCUGGACAGGAAGCCCCUGUAGAGAACAAGCAAUGAUAGCUGUGGCAGUUUUGCAAAAAUAAAAGGGAGACAUGUUGGUAGAAGAGCUGAGGCAGGACUAGCUUGUCUGUCAUAAUGUAAAAGAGUCUUGGAACAUGUCCUGGGUCCAGGGUCUAAACCCCCUCAUGGCCUUUGGAACACCAAGCUCUGUGCCAAAGGGUGGAAGGCUGCCCUGUGGCACCACAAUCUAAGCUCAGGGCAUAAAACCCCUUGUGGCUUUGAUGGAAUCCAGGGCUCAGACCAUAAAACCCCUCGUGGCCUUUUGAAUGUGCACCGACUUGCUGGCUCCUUGCUUCUUGCUCUCCCAGAAUCGUAAAUUGAUUGUAUCUUGAGUUGGAAGAACAUGUUCUCCAUUAUCUCACGUAGCAGAGCAUGUUCCAUGUACUUCAAAGAAAAUGCUAAACCGUCACAGCUACGCUUGAUGCACCACUACCUUUCUACCCCCACAUCCGCACGUCCUCACCACCUGCUUCUUUGUUUGAUCACCAAUAAAUAGUGUGGGCUCCCAGAGCUCAGGGCCUUCACUGCCUCCAUACUAGCGUUGGCCCCCUGGACCAACCUUAUGCACUCUUAGCCUUUUCUCAUUCCUUUGACUCUGCCAGACUUUGUAGCCACCAUGGCCUGGUGUUGGGUCUGAUCACCUGUAGGGAAAAGAAAAAGAGAUCAGAUUGUCACUGUGUCUAUGUAGAAAGGAAAGCCAUAAGAGACUCCAUUUUGAAAAAGAGCUGUACUUUAAACAGUUGCUUUGCUGAGAUGUUGUUAAUUUGUAGUUUUGUCCCAGCCACUUUGCCCCAGCCACUUUGACCCAACCACUUUGAUCCAAUCUGGAGCUCACAAAAACAUGUGUUGUAUGAAAUCAAGGUUUAAGGGAUCUAGGGUUGUGCAGGACGUGCCUUAUUAACAAAGUGUUUACUAGCAGUAUACUUGGUAAAAGUCAUUGCUAUUCUCUAGUCUCAAUAAACCAGGGGCACAAUACACUGCGGAAAGCCGCAGGGACCUCUGCCCUUGAAAGUUGGGUAUUGUCCAAAGUUUCUCUCCAUGUGAUAGUCUGAAAUAUGGCCUCAUGGGAUGAGAAAGACCUGACUGUCCCCCAGCCUGACUCCCAUAAAGGGUCUGUGCCGAGGUGGAUUAGUAAAAGAGGAAAGCCUCUUGCAGUUGAGAUAGAGGAAGGCCACUGUCUCCUGCCUGCCCCUGGGAACUGAAUGUCUCGGUAUAAAACCCGAUUGUACAUUUGUUCAAUUCUGAGAUAGGAGAAAAACUGUCCUAUGGUGAGAGGUGAGACAUGUUUGCAGCAAUGCUGCCUUGUUAUUCUUUACUCCGCUGAGAUGUUUGGGUGGAGAGAAACAUAAAUCUGGCCUACGUGCACAUCCAGGCAUAGUACCUUCCCUUGAACUUGAUUAUGACAUAGAUUCUUUUGCUCACAUGUUUUUUGCUGACCUUCUCCUUAUUAUCACCCUGCUCUCCUACUACAUGCCUUUUUGCUGAAAUAAUGAAAAUAAUAAUCAAUAAAAACUGAGGGAACUCAGAGACCGGUGCUGGUGCAGGUCCUUGGUGUGCUGAGUGCCGGUCCCCUGGGCCCACUGUUGUUUCUCUAUACUUUGUCUCUGUCUUAUUUCUUUUUAUUAUCACCCUGCUCUCCUACUACAUUCCUUUUUGCUGAAAUAAUGAAAAUAAUAAUCAAUAAAAACUGAGGGAACUCAGAGACCAGUGCUGGUGC
Molecule: long non-coding RNA, 3402 nt
Organism: Homo sapiens (human)
Lineage: Eukaryota; Metazoa; Chordata; Mammalia; Primates; Hominidae
Source: Ensembl